GAUGAAGAACGUAGCGAAAUGCGAUAAGUAAUGUGAAUUGCAGAAUUCAGUGAAUCAUCGAAUCUUUGAACGCAUCUUGCGCUCCUUGGUAUUCCUUGGAGCAUGCCUGUUUGAGUAUCAUGAGCAAAUCUCAAAGUCAAUUCCUUUUGUUGAUUCAAUUGGUUUUGCUUUGGACUUGGAGGCCUUGCAGAUUUCACAGUCUGCUCCUCUUAAAUGCAUUAGCUGGAUCUCAGUAAUUAUGCUUGGUUCCACUCGGCGUGAUAAGUAUCACUCGCUGAGGACACUGUUAAAAAGGUGGCCAGGAAAAUACUGAUUGAACCGCUUCUAACGGUCUAUUAAGUUAGACAAUUACCCCUAAGUUUGAUCUCAAAUCAGGUAGGACUACCCGCUGAACUUAAGCAUAUCAAUAAGCGGAGGA
RNAcentral lists this unclassified non-coding RNA (418 nucleotides) under soil metagenome. RNAcentral describes it as "partial contains 5.8S ribosomal RNA, internal transcribed spacer 2, and large subunit ribosomal RNA". The stretch from base 1 to 120 matches the Rfam family "5.8S ribosomal RNA", at positions 35 to 154 of the family's 154-position model. The record is from RNAcentral.